CGAAAGGGUGACGAAGCGACGCCGCGUGUGGGAAGAAGGCCUUCGGGUUGUAAACCACUGUCAGGAGUUAAGAAGUGUAAGGAUGCGAAUAGCGUCUUUACUUGACUAAGGCUCCAGAGGAAGCCACGGCUAACUCUGUGCCAGCAGCCGCGGUAAUACAGAGGUGGCAAGCGUUGUUCGGAAUUAUUGGGCGUAAAGAGCACGUAGGCGGUUCUGCAAGUCGGCUGUGAAAGCCUUCCGCUCAACGGAAGAACAGCAGUUGAUACUACAGGACUAGAGUGCGGGAGGGGAGAGUGGAACUUCUGGUGGAGCGGUGAAAUGCGUAGAUACCAGAAGGAACGCCGGCGGCGAAAGCGACUCUCUGGCCCGUAACUGACGCUGAGUGUGCGAAAGCUAGGGGAGCAAACGGGAUUAGAUACCCCGGUAGUCCUAGCCGU
RNAcentral lists this ribosomal RNA (437 nucleotides) under uncultured bacterium. RNAcentral describes it as "bacterial SSU rRNA". It matches the Rfam family "Bacterial small subunit ribosomal RNA", at positions 376 to 803 of the family's 1533-position model. The record is from RNAcentral.